This 253-nucleotide ribosomal RNA is filed under the name uncultured bacterium. RNAcentral's name for it is "partial 16S ribosomal RNA". It matches the Rfam family "Bacterial small subunit ribosomal RNA", at positions 524 to 776 of the family's 1533-position model. The record is from RNAcentral.
UACAGAGGUCUCAAGCGUUGUUCGGAUUCAUUGGGCGUAAAGGGUGCGUAGGCGGCGCGGCAAGUCGGGUGUGAAAUCUCCGGGCUUAACUCGGAAAGGUCAACUGAUACUGUGCGACUAGAGUGCAGAAGGGGCAACUGGAAUUCUCGGUGUAGCGGUGAAAUGCGUAGAUAUCGAGAGGAACACCUGCGGCGAAGGCGGGUUGCUGGGCUGACACUGACGCUGAUGCGCGAAAGCCAGGGGAGCGAACGGG